This 460-nucleotide ribosomal RNA is filed under the name uncultured bacterium. Its description in RNAcentral is "partial 16S ribosomal RNA". It matches the Rfam family "Bacterial small subunit ribosomal RNA", at positions 338 to 795 of the family's 1533-position model. The record is from RNAcentral.
CCUACGGGAGGCUGCAGUGAGGAAUAUUGGUCAAUGGACGAGAGUCUGAACCAGCCAAGUAGCGUGAAGGAUGACUGCCCUAUGGGUUGUAAACUUCUUUUAUAUAGGAAUAAAACAGGGUAUGCAUACCCUCUUGUAUGUACUAUAUGAAUAAGGAUCGGCUAACUCCGUGCCAGCAGCCGCGGUAAUACGGAGGAUCCGAGCGUUAUCCGGAUUUAUUGGGUUUAAAGGGAGCGUAGGUGGAUUGUUAAGUCAGUUGUGAAAGUUUGCGGCUCAACCGUAAAAUUGCAGUUGAAACUGGCAGUCUUGAGUACAGUUGAGGUAGGCGGAAUUCGUGGUGUAGCGGUGAAAUGCUUAGAUAUCACGAAGAACUCCGAUUGCGAAGGCAGCUUACUGGACUGCCACUGACACUGAUGCUCGAAAGUGUGGGUAUCAAACAGGAUUAGAUACCCUGGUAGUC